GACGUAGGGCGCAAGCGUUGUCCGGAUUUAUUGGGCGUAAAGAGCUCGUAGGCGGCUUGUCGCGUCGCCUGUGAAAACCCGCGGCUCAACCGUGUGGUCUGCAGUCGAUACGGGCAGGCUAGAGUUCGGUAGGGGAGACUGGAAUUCCUGGUGGAGCGGUGAAAUGCGCGGAUAUCAGGAGGAACACCGGUGGCGAAGGCGGGUCUCUGGGCCGAUACUGACGCUGAGGAGCGAAAGCGUGGGGAGCGAACAGG
Molecule: ribosomal RNA, 254 nt
Filed under: uncultured bacterium
Lineage: Bacteria
Description: partial 16S ribosomal RNA
Rfam family: Bacterial small subunit ribosomal RNA
Source: RNAcentral